UCUCCGUAGGUGAACCUGCGGAGGGAUCAUUAAAGAGUUCAUGCCCUACCGGGUUGACCUCCCACCCUAUGUUAUUAUUAAUUUGUUGCUUUGGCGGGCCGUUAGUCCCCGGCCCGACUACAGGCACCGGCUGGUACGCGCCCGCCAGAGGACCCCAAACCCUGAAUCUUAGUGUCGUCUGAGUACUAUAUAAUAGUUAAAACUUUCAACAACGGAUCUCUUGGUUCUG
Molecule: unclassified non-coding RNA, 229 nt
Filed under: plant metagenome
Description: partial contains small subunit ribosomal RNA, internal transcribed spacer 1, and 5.8S ribosomal RNA
Source: RNAcentral